AUUGAACGCUGGCGGCAGGCCUAACACAUGCAAGUCGAGCGGAUGAAGGGAGCUUGCUCCUGGAUUCAGCGGCGGACGGGUGAGUAAUGCCUAGGAAUCUGCCUGGUAGUGGGGGAUAACGUCCGGAAACGGGCGCUAAUACCGCAUACGUCCUGAGGGAGAAAGUGGGGGAUCUUCGGACCUCACGCUAUCAGAUGAGCCUAGGUCGGACUAGCUAGUUGGUGGGGUAAAGGCCUACCAAGGCGACGAUCCGUAACUGGUCUGAGAGGAUGAUCAGUCACACUGGAACUGAGACACGGUCCAGACUCCUACGGGAGGCAGCAGUGGGGAAUAUUGGACAAUGGGCGAAAGCCUGAUCCAGCCAUGCCGCGUGUGUGAAGAAGGUCUUCGGAUUGUAAAGCACUUUAAGUUGGGAGGAAGGGCAGUAAGUUAAUACCUUGCUGUUUUGACGUGACCAACAGAAUAAGCACCGGCUAACUUCG
Molecule: ribosomal RNA, 482 nt
Filed under: uncultured bacterium
Lineage: Bacteria
Description: partial 16S ribosomal RNA
Rfam family: Bacterial small subunit ribosomal RNA
Source: RNAcentral